Molecule: ribosomal RNA, 671 nt
Filed under: uncultured crenarchaeote
Lineage: Archaea; Thermoproteati; Thermoproteota
Description: bacterial SSU rRNA
Rfam family: Archaeal small subunit ribosomal RNA
Source: RNAcentral
CCCUAUGGGGUGCAGCAGUCGCGAAAACUCCGCAGUACGCGAAAGCGUGACGGGGCUACCCCGAGUGCCGUCCGCUGAGGAUGGCUUUUCCCCGGUGUAAUGAGCCGGGGGAAUAAGGAGAGGGCAAGACUGGUGUCAGCCGCCGCGGUAAUACCAGCUCUCCGAGUGGUAGGGAUGAUUAUUGGGCUUAAAGCGUCCGUAGCCGGCUUAGCAAGUCUCCUGUCAAAUUCAGCGACCUAAUCGUUGAGCCGCGGGAGACACUACUAGGCUAGGAGGCGGGAGAGGCCGACGGUAUUCUCGGGGUAGGGGUGAAAUCCUAUAAUCCCGAGAGGACCACCAGUGGCGAAGGCUGUCGGCUAGAACGCGCUCGACGGUGAGGGACGAAAGCUGGGGGAGCGAACCGGAUUAGAUACCCGGGUAGUCCCAGCUGUAAACGAUGCGGGCUAGGUGUUGGGGGUGGCUACGAGCCACUUCAGUGCCGCAGGGAAGCCAUUAAGCCCGCCGCCUGGGGAGUACGGCCGCAAGGCUGAAACUUAAAGGAAUUGGCGGGGGAGCACCACAAGGCGUGAGGCUUGCGGUUCAAUUGGAGUCAACGCCCGGAACCUUACCGGGGCGACAGCAGAUGAACGCCAGAUUAAACGUCUGCUGGACAGCUGAGAGGUAGUGCAUGG